UGUUUUCCUUUGCACAGGAAGGGCAGAGAAGUGGGCUUUCUUUCUAAGUCAUCUUUUCAAAAAGCACCAGGGAGACCACUACAAAACAGCAACAACUUUCUGUUUAUGCACUUUACAGUAACAAGGCUUUUCCAUGUAAAGGGUCUAAAAUACUUUGUUAGGAAUACAGCUCCAGAACAGGAAAAAUGUUAACGGAUUUGCUCAAGAAACCAGGCUGGGCUGCACCUGUGCUCUGUUAGUUGCCCCCAGAUGCUGCCCAUGAUUGUUCCUGGCCCCAGGAAGCAGCUGGGUCCCUAUAAGAAGCUUCCCAGGAGCCUUGGGGAAGUUUCUGCUUGUGCUGCAGCCUGGUGCAGGGAGGGGAGAGGUGCUGCAGGGGUCUCUGCUGCUUUCAGGAUUACAGCUUCAGAGAGCAGCAGGAUGUGAUGGAAUAGCAGGAACCGAAAUGCCACCUCAAUAUUCAAGCCACUCAUUCCUGCAUGAAGCAGCACGCUCCCUUUGGAGCUGUUCCUGGCAGGGAGAUCGCGCUGUGGAAGUGUUUGUUCUGGGAAAGCAGCGGCACAAAUGUGGAAAAGAUUAAAGCGGAGGCUUUUACGUCAAAAUCAUCUGAAGAGAGACAUGAAGUGACCCAGUUCCUGCCCCUGGAGGAGACAGAAGAAGGGAUGGGGAAAGGAGACCAGGCCUCCUAGCUCUGCCUCAAGCCUACCAACACAAGGCUUUCCAGCCCCAGACGCAGACAACAAUGGGUAAAAGCUCCCUGGGAAGCGCUUGAAAAUCUCCUUCU
Molecule: long non-coding RNA, 781 nt
Filed under: Anser brachyrhynchus (Pink-footed goose)
Lineage: Eukaryota; Metazoa; Chordata; Aves; Anseriformes; Anatidae
Description: lncRNA (ENSABRG00000004489.1)
Source: RNAcentral